GACGAACGCUGGCGGCGUGCCUAAUACAUGCAAGUCGAGCGGAGUCUGAAAGGAAGCUUGCUUCCUUUCAGAUUUAGCGGCGGACGGGUGAGUAACACGUAGGCAACCUGCCCUCAAGCCUGGAUAACUACCGGAAACGGUAGCUAAUACCGGAUAAUUUCUUUUUCUCCUGAGGAGAGAAUGAAAGGCGGAGCAAUCUGCUGCUUGGGGAUGGGCCUGCGGCGCAUUAGCUAGUUGGUGGGGUAAUGGCUUACCAAGGCGACGAUGCAUAGCCGAGUUGAGAGACUGAUCGGCCACAUUGGGACUGAGACGCGGCCCAA
Molecule: ribosomal RNA, 320 nt
Filed under: uncultured bacterium
Lineage: Bacteria
Description: bacterial SSU rRNA
Rfam family: Bacterial small subunit ribosomal RNA
Source: RNAcentral